CCAAUAGCGUAUAUUAAAGUUGUUGCAGUUAAAAAGCUCGUAGUUGAAUUUUGGAUUCGGCCAAUUGGUCCAUCUUUUAGAUGAGUACUGGUUGUGUUGGGUCUAUCCGCCUGGUGAUACGUAAUGUCCUUUAUUGGAUGUUGCGGGUAGUCAGGACCUUUACCUUGAAAAAAUUAGAGUGUUUAAAGCAGGCUUAUGCCGGAAUACAUUAGCAUGGAAUAAUAGAAUAGGACGAAGUUGUUUUAUUUUGUUGGUUUCUAGGACAACCGUAAUGAUUAAUAGGGAUAGUUGGGGGCAUUAGUAUUCAAUUGUCAGAGGUGAAAUUCUUGGAUUUAUUGAAGACUAACUACUGCGAAAGCAUUUGCCAAGGAUGUUUUCAUUAAUCAAGAACGAAAGUUAGGGGAUCGAAGACGAUCAGAUACCGUCGUAGUCUUAACCAUAAACUAUGCCGACUAGGGAUCGGGCGAUGUUGUUUCCAUGACUCGCUCGGCACCUUAUG
This 499-nucleotide ribosomal RNA is filed under the name uncultured Glomeromycotina. Its description in RNAcentral is "partial small subunit ribosomal RNA". It matches the Rfam family "Eukaryotic small subunit ribosomal RNA", at positions 591 to 1092 of the family's 1831-position model. Lineage: Eukaryota; Fungi; Glomeromycota. The record is from RNAcentral.